Molecule: long non-coding RNA, 876 nt
Filed under: Homo sapiens (human)
Lineage: Eukaryota; Metazoa; Chordata; Mammalia; Primates; Hominidae
Description: HSALNT0361105
Source: RNAcentral
AGAACACAGUAUCUGGUUUUCUGUUGCUGUGUUAAUUUGCUCAGGAUAAUGGCUUCCAGAUGCAUCCAUGUUGCUCCAGAGGACACGAUUUUGUUCUUUUUUUGUGGCUGUGUAGUAUUCCCUGGUGUACAUGUAUCACAUUUUCUUUAUCCAACCUUCUGUUGGCACCUGGGUUGGUUUCAUGUCUUUGCUAUUGUUUGACACACUUUUUAGUUGUGUUGUUUGUUUUCUUAUUGAGUUUCAAGAAUUCUUGUGUCUUUUGCAAAUAUUUUCUUCCAAUUAGCAACUUAUAAUAAAAUGUUAAGUCCCAAGAUAAUAAGAUACCACCUAUCAUGUCAGUACUUCUGAAUAAACAGCCUUGAUGAGCUAUCUCUUCUGAAGUUCAUCCACAUCCAAAUGCAUGCUCUGUGUAAGAAUGACUUUACCGCUUAAAAUAUGAGUGAAAAGAAUGGACAUCAAUAUCCCUUAGUUGUUGCCAGAGAAAAAAAGGGAGAAAGUGCUAAGAAAUGAUUCUACAUAUUUUAUAUUUCUUCCAUUCACAUUUAUUCUUUACAUAUUUGCUGAGAGCCUUUUAUAUUCCACGUGUCAUGUUGAUGACAGAUACAUGGGGAUAAAUAAAACCUUUUUAUACCUUUUAACAUGGAGUAGUCAAUGUGCAUGGUAGUAAUGGAGUUUGGUAGGGUAGGGUUACAUGAAAGUAGUACGUUAUAAAACACUGCAGAAUCUUCCACAAUAAAAAAUGCACUAGAGAUGCAUUCCCUGAAAGACCUGAGUCAAUAUCCCUCAGCAAAAGACGAAAAUAAAAAGGAAUAAGAGUUAAGUGCAUUCAGAGGUGAGAACUUAUUUUAUGACUACUGACAUGGGAUCAGAAUUGAA